UGCAAAGGUUUCCGCGGGCCGGACGGAGAUUAGCCCUUGAGUGCAAAGGUAGAAGGGAGCUUGAUUGCAAGACCCACCCGUCAAGCAGGGAUGAAAGUCGGCCUUUGU
This 108-nucleotide ribosomal RNA is filed under the name Olea europaea subsp. europaea. Its description in RNAcentral is "PK-G12rRNA". It matches the Rfam family "Bacterial large subunit ribosomal RNA", at positions 2309 to 2416 of the family's 2925-position model. The record is from RNAcentral. Lineage: Eukaryota; Viridiplantae; Streptophyta; Magnoliopsida; Lamiales; Oleaceae.